CCUUUCUCUCUCAAAGCUUGUAGCUAGUCUGGCCCCUUUCAUGCCAUUAAAACGACCAGAUUCUCCCCUUCUCAAGGCCUUCACAUGUCCUGCCUUCUGUCUCGCAUUUCCAUCACCCCACCCCAAAAUUUCAUAUUCUCUUUCUCUCUCUCAUCACAUAGUCAGCCCCUUCUCAUUCUUUCCAUCUCAAUUUAAAUGUGACCUUCCUGUAUGAAGUUUCCAUAAACUGGAUUGUCUGAAUCCAAAUGGCUAAUAGGCUCCUAUUUUCAUUAUGUGCUCAAAGUAUCUAUUUUAUGAUGCUUUGUUCAAAAAAAAUGAUAAAAGGGAGGUAGUCUCAGGAGGAUAAAAGUGCUGGUAUAGAGGUGCAAAAGUGUAAAUAGUAGUCUGUUAGUCUGUUGGCCAGCUUGGUUCUAGGGAGCUUAAGGAGGAAGAGAGAGAGAACCACGGCAAAUGCUGAAGGCACUGUUUUGAUUGAGGGCACAGGAAGCAAGGUCACUGGCCAGGGUGGCAGUGGAAGGAUUCCUCCCUUAGUAACUUGGGGGCAGCAGAUUUCAGCAAGCAAAGCAAAGCAGAUAAAAGUGAGCAGACUUGUUCUCAAGCACAGGUGAGAUACCCUUGGAGAUUCCAGUACAUCAGUGGGGAGCCAGAGGGGAGGCUCAGGCCCUGCAGAUGGAGUUCUGCAAUGGAGGGGAAUCAUGUCUAUCCUCAGGCUGUCAGAUUUGAAGUUACUUGGGUGAAGUAAGUGACGCCUGGGAUAGUAACAGCCAGCGAUUAUCAGCAGUUGCAGAUCUGUUUCUAUACUAAAGCAGAUAAAAGCAUCCAGGAAUUAUCAAAAGCCACAAAUCAAUCCCAGUGUCUUGUCAUGCACCCACACAGCACUUUUCCCUUUCCUCACAGCUACUUAAUGGAUACUGGCAAGCCGUCAAACAGACAAACAAAGAAGUGAGGAUAAAUGAUGCUUUCCAAAUUUAAGAUUUACAUAGGAAAUCCUGUGAUAAGCCACCAUUCUUCACACCAGGCAGCCCAGGUUAGAAGGCUCUGGAGUCCCGUAAUGCUCAACUAGGUUAAUACUCAACUAGGUCAAGACUCAACUAAGACAAUAUCAAGGAAUCAGACAAUGAAAACUCUACCUUGUCCCAUCAAAGCUUCUGUAUCUCAGGAUGGAGGCAAGAAGGCUGACAUUGAAACUAUUUCCACAGGAUAAGAUUGAGGUCACAAGCAUUUACUGAAAGACUUAAGCAAAAAUGAGCAGCAAUAUUAAGAAAGAAAUAAGGUAAACAAAUAGAUGGCUACAAGAGUGGCCUUAUUAAAGUCUUC
Long non-coding RNA from Leopardus geoffroyi (Geoffroy's cat), 1317 nucleotides. RefSeq lists it as uncharacterized. NCBI's taxonomy places the organism in Eukaryota, Metazoa, Chordata, Mammalia, Carnivora, Felidae. The transcript is spliced from 4 exons. The record is from RefSeq and is a predicted model, not a curated record.